GACGAACGCUGGCGGCGUGCCUAAUACAUGCAAGUCGAGCGGACUUGAUGAAGUGCUUGCACUUCUGAUGGUUAGCGGCGGACGGGUGAGUAACACGUAGGUAACCUGCCUAUAAGACUGGGAUAACAUUCGGAAACGAAUGCUAAUACCGGAUACGCGAAUUGGUCGCAUGACCGAAUCGGGAAAGACGGAGCAAUCUGUCACUUAUAGAUGGACCUGCGGCGCAUUAGCUAGUUGGUGAGGUAACGGCUCACCAAGGCGACGAUGCGUAGCCGACCUGAGAGGGUGAUCGGCCACACUGGGACUGAGACACGGCCCAGACUCCUACGGGAGGCAGCAGUAGGGAAUCUUCCGCAAUGGACGAAAGUCUGACGGAGCAACGCCGCGUGAGUGAUGAAGGUUUUCGGAUCGUAAAGCUCUGUUGCCAGGGAAGAACGCUUGGGAGAGUAACUGCUCUCAAGGUGACGGUACCUGAGAAGAAAGCCCCGGCUAACUACGUGCCAGCAGCCGCGUAACAC
This 518-nucleotide ribosomal RNA is filed under the name uncultured bacterium. Its description in RNAcentral is "bacterial SSU rRNA". It matches the Rfam family "Bacterial small subunit ribosomal RNA", at positions 28 to 526 of the family's 1533-position model. The record is from RNAcentral.